Molecule: non-coding RNA, 72 nt
Organism: Aedes albopictus (Asian tiger mosquito)
Lineage: Eukaryota; Metazoa; Arthropoda; Insecta; Diptera; Culicidae
Source: Rfam
GGCUCGGUAGCUUAGUUGGAAAAGCACUUGUCUAGCGGAUAAGGGUCGUGAGUUCAAAUCUCACCUGAGCUG